Molecule: long non-coding RNA, 1313 nt
Filed under: Ananas comosus (pineapple)
Lineage: Eukaryota; Viridiplantae; Streptophyta; Magnoliopsida; Poales; Bromeliaceae
Description: long non-coding RNA (ACOM_LNC031700)
Source: RNAcentral
GAUUUUCUCAUGCAAAUAUGGAGUAGAAAAUAACUAUAAAUAAGAUGAAGGAGAUAUAGAAGGAAUUCAUUCAAUUCGAAAAUUUAAACCUAUCGAUUUCUAUGGAUUGAUUGUUGUAAACCAAAUGAGAUUACAUGUCCACCAACGAAUCCUAAAAGAAACCUAUCAAUUCCAUCUGAAAGAUUUCCAAAUUUACAAUCCCAAAUCUAAGCUCAUCUCUUUCAAGCUAUCUCAUAAAUCAACCCUUUGGACCUGGUGUUAAGCUCUCUAAGAGCUCUUCCUCCUCUUUUCUUGCUCCAACUUUUAAGCUUGGGUUGAGGUUGAGGUUUCAAAGAGAGAAGAAAGAUUAGAGGUGAGGGCUUUGGAGGGGAACAAGUAGUGGAGAUAGAGAGAAAGAAGAAGAAGAUGGUAGAAAGGGAAAGAAGAGUAUUUUCUAUUGAGAGCUAGCUAAAAGAAAGAAAGGAGAGAGAGUUAGAGAGAGGUAUUUGUAGUUGCACAAUACCCUUUCUCCCUAAAAUACAGCCUGAGUACUAGUACUCCCUCACUUAAUACCAGUACAUCCCCAAGUGCCAUAAAAUUCGAGAGUUCCAACAAUAAAAAUUGCUCAAGGGGUACCGGUACUCCACCUCGAGUACCGAUGCAUGGUAAUCAAUAUCAAUACUCAACUAGAAUUUUGUAAAACCCUCAUUAUAUAUAAACUUUGUAAAAUUAAAAUACUAAGUUUAUGAACUUAGCAGUCAAUCAGAAUUGGACUGCUCAGUUUAAUGAUACGGCAGCCGGUUGAGAUUAAUUAAUUUGCUUAGUUUAACGAGUUAGCAGUCAUGUUAAAAUGACUCUAAUUUGACUCAUUUAGUUUAAUGACUUGAUAGUCAAGUUGGAUUGAGUUUUAUUUGAUUUGUUCAGUUUAACAAUUUGACGAUCAAGUUGAGUUGGAUUUCAUUUGAUUUGCUUAGUUUAAUGACUUGGCGGUCAAGUUGAAAGAAGUUUCAAUUGAUUUGCUCCUUUUAACGACUUGGCGAUUAAGUUGAAACAAGUUUUGUUUAAUUUACUCAGUUUAACAAUUUGGCGGCCUAGUUGAAGCAAGUUUGAUUUGAUUUGUUCAGUUUAAUGAUUUGACGGUCAUUUGAAAUAAUCUUGAUUUGAUUUGCUCCGUUUAACCACUUGGCAGUCAUUUGGUUCUAGCUUGUGAAUUCGGCCGAUUAAUUUGAAUUCAGCUUGAUUUAAAUCCUUGAUCUAUUUUAAUUCAGGCGAAGCUAGUUUGCUUGAUUUGGAUCAUCCCUAAAGUUUGGUCUGAACAUUUUUUUGGUUGGAUU